This 490-nucleotide ribosomal RNA is filed under the name uncultured bacterium. RNAcentral's name for it is "bacterial SSU rRNA". It matches the Rfam family "Bacterial small subunit ribosomal RNA", at positions 215 to 697 of the family's 1533-position model. The record is from RNAcentral.
UCACUAAGAGAUGGUCCCGCGGUGCAUUAGCUAGUUGGUAAGGUAAUGGCUUACCAAGGCGAUGAUGCAUAGCCGAGUUGAGAGACUGAUCGGCCACAAUGGGACUGAGACACGGCCCAUACUCCUACGGGAGGCAGCAGUAGGGAAUCUUCCACAAUGGGCGAAAGCCUGAUGGAGCAACGCCGCGUGUGUGAUGAAGGGUUUCGGCUCGUAAAACACUGUUGUAAGAGAAGAAUGACAUUGAGAGUAACUGUUCAAUGUGUGACGGUAUCUUACCAGAAAGGAACGGCUGAAUACGUGCCAGCAGCCGCGGUAAUACGUAUGUUCCAAGCGUUAUCCGGAUUUAUUGGGCGUAAAGCGAGCGCAGACGGUUAUUUAAGUCUGAAGUGAAAGCCCUCAGCUCAACUGAGGAAUUGCUUUGGAAACUGGAUGACUUGAGUGCAGUAGAGGAAAGUGGAACUCCAUGUGUAGCGGUGAAAUACGUAGAUAU